GAUGUUAUUUUUUAUUGUGUAAGAAGUAAUAUUGUUAAUGAGAAUUUCGUUUUAAGUAAAAAAUUUAUAAGUGUCUUUCACUUGACUAUUUUAGGAGAAUAUUUCGGUCCUUGAGGUUUGGUAAAUAAAGGAAACAACAGAGUAAGGAAGGUACAUAUCAAACUGAUUAAAAAAAUAAUAAUAAAUGUUUCACUCAUUGUUACGUGAUUUGUAAGAGAGAGAUAUUGUAAACCAUGUUUUAAGGACAAAUUAUUGGAAGUUGAGGAUCUAUCCACUCUCUUACGGAAGAUUGAUUCUAACUUUAGUUUUAGAGUUUAAAUGAAAAACCGACUGGAAAAGCUAUUUGAAGAGAAAUCAUUGUCUAGUGGUUGUUAGGAAUUGUCAUGUGAGUCUAGGCCAUAAUUCAGAUUCUUUCACUAUGAUUUCAAUAAUGGAUAAAAGUUUUAUAUGGAACUUGAAGUUUUACCAAGAAGAAUUGGAAAGUAUACAGAGAUGCCUCCUUUCAGUUACCUUUUUGAUGGGAUUGAGAAUCAGUUUCUGUAGUGUGUGUGGCUCCGCCUUUCUCUGAUCCAACAUUAUGUCUUCUUGAUUCCUGUAUUGUUUGAAUACUUUCACUAAUACUUAUCAAUUCCUGCAUUGCUGUAGUGUGUUUGAAACCUAUAAAAGGAAACGAAGAAGAAGAUAGUCUUGUGGUGCGGUGAUGGUGGUGAUAUGGAAGAGUGAGGGCUUGGUUAAUAGGUAAAGAAGACGAAGAAUAUGAAGGCUAAGCCAAUAAAGCAGAAGUAAAGAAAAGAUGAGGAACAAAAUAAGAAGACGGAUGAGACAAGACGAAUCAUAAAGAAUAAGAAGAUGAGGAGACUAAGCAGAAGAAGUUGAAGAUGAAGACAGGAUGAAGAAAAAUCCGAAGAACAAUAAGUCAGAGAAGAUGAAGACUAUGAUGAAUGAAAACCGAAGAGAAAUACGAAGACAAUUCAAAGGAGAAAGAAGAAGAAGAAAAGUUCAAGAAGACACAAACGUAUCAAAGAAGAUGUAGAAGUCAAAACCGAUUAAGAAGAAGAAGAUAAUAUAAAAAUCGAUUAAGAAGGAGAAGAUAAUAUAAGAACCGACAAGAAAGAAAGACACCUCUAGCAAAACAGGAAAGAAGGUCCAAAGAGGGAGAGAGGCCAAGAAUUAGUCAGCGAAAGAAAAAGAACCAUCUCUAAAUACAAUGUCUAAGUCAAAG
RNAcentral lists this long non-coding RNA (1222 nucleotides) under Eutrema salsugineum. RNAcentral describes it as "long non-coding RNA (ESAL_LNC001765)". The record is from RNAcentral. Lineage: Eukaryota; Viridiplantae; Streptophyta; Magnoliopsida; Brassicales; Brassicaceae.